RNAcentral lists this ribosomal RNA (419 nucleotides) under uncultured bacterium. RNAcentral's name for it is "bacterial SSU rRNA". It matches the Rfam family "Bacterial small subunit ribosomal RNA", at positions 359 to 776 of the family's 1533-position model. The record is from RNAcentral.
GAAUAUUGGGCAAUGGCCGAGAGGCUGACCCAGCCAUGCCGCGUGCAGGAAGAAGGCCUUCUGGGUUGUAAACUGCUUUUAUCUAGGAAGAAAACGCCCAUGCGUGGGAAACUGACGGUACUAGAUGAAUAAGCACCGGCCAACUCCGUGCCAGCAGCCGCGGUAAUACGGAGGGUGCAAGCGUUGUCCGGAGUUAUUGGGUUUAAAGGGUGCGUAGGCGGCCCGUUAAGUCAGCGGUGAAAUCCCACGGCUCAACCGUGGAACUGCCGUUGAUACUGGCGGGCUUGAGUUCGGUCGAGGCGGGCGGAACUGGUGGUGUAGCGGUGAAAUGCAUAGAUACCACCAAGAACCCCGAUUGCGUAGGCAGCUCGCUAGGCCGAAACUGACGCUGAGGCACGAAAGCGUGGGGAGCGAACAGG